UUGAACGCUGGCGGCAUGCCUUACACAUGCAAGUCGAACGGCAGCACGGGUGCUUGCACCUGGUGGCGAGUGGCGAACGGGUGAGUAAUACAUCGGAACAUGUCCUGUAGUGGGGGAUAGCCCGGCGAAAGCCGGAUUAAUACCGCAUACGAUCUACGGAUGAAAGCGGGGGACCUUCGGGCCUCGCGCUAUAGGGUUGGCCGAUGGCUGAUUAGCUAGUUGGUGGGGUAAAGGCCUACCAAGGCGACGAUCAGUAGCUGGUCUGAGAGGACGACCAGCCACACUGGGACUGAGACACGGCCCAGACUCCUACGGGAGGCAGCAGUGGGGAAUUUUGGACAAUGGGCGAAAGCCUGAUCCAGCAAUGCCGCGUGUGUGAAGAAGGCCUUCGGGUUGUAAAGCACUUUUGUCCGGAAAGAAAUCCUUGGCUCUAAUACAGUCGGGGGAUGACGGUACCGGAAGAAUAAGCACCGGCUAACUACGUGCCAGCAGCCGCGGUAAUACGUAGGGUGCGAGCGUUAAUCGGAAUUACUGGGCGUAAAGCGUGCGCAGGCGGUUUGCUAAGACCGAUGUGAAAUCCCCGGGCUCAACCUGGGAACUGCAUUGGUGACUGGCAGGCUAGAGUAUGGCAGAGGGGGGUAGAAUUCCACGUGUAGCAGUGAAAUGCGUAGAGAUGUGGAGGAAUACCGAUGGCGAAGGCAGCCCCCUGGGCCAAUACUGACGCUCAUGCACGAAAGCGUGGGGGGAGCAAACAGGAUUAGAUACCCUGGUAGUCCACGCCCUAAACGAUGUCAACUAGUUGUUGGGGAUUCAUUUCCUUAGUAACGUAGCUAACGCGUGAAGUUGACCGCCUGGGGAGUACGGUCGCAAGAUUAAAACUCAAAGGAAUUGACGGGGACCCGCACAAGCGGUGGAUGAUGUGGAUUAAUUCGAUGCAACGCGAAAAACCUUACCUACCCUUGACAUGGUCGGAAUCCCGCUGAGAGGUGGGAGUGCUCGAAAGAGAACCGGCGCACAGGUGCUGCAUGGCUGUCGUCAGCUCGUGUCGUGAGAUGUUGGGUUAAGUCCCGCAACGAGCGCAACCCUUGUCCUUAGUUGCUACGCAAGAGCACUCUAAGGAGACUGCCGGUGACAAACCGGAGGAAGGUGGGGAUGACGUCAAGUCCUCAUGGCCCUUAUGGGUAGGGCUUCACACGUCAUACAAUGGUCGGAACAGAGGGUUGCCAACCCGCGAGGGGGAGCUAAUCCCAGAAAACCGAUCGUAGUCCGGAUUGCACUCUGCAACUCGAGUGCAUGAAGCUGGAAUCGCUAGUAAUCGCGGAUCAGCAUGCCGCGGUGAAUACGUUCCCGGGUCUUGUACACACCGC
RNAcentral lists this ribosomal RNA (1367 nucleotides) under uncultured beta proteobacterium. RNAcentral's name for it is "bacterial SSU rRNA". It matches the Rfam family "Bacterial small subunit ribosomal RNA", at positions 29 to 1393 of the family's 1533-position model. The record is from RNAcentral. Lineage: Bacteria; Pseudomonadati; Pseudomonadota; Betaproteobacteria.